RNAcentral lists this long non-coding RNA (392 nucleotides) under Chrysolophus pictus (golden pheasant). Its description in RNAcentral is "lncRNA (ENSCPIG00010008737.1)". The record is from RNAcentral. Lineage: Eukaryota; Metazoa; Chordata; Aves; Galliformes; Phasianidae.
UACCCGCCCUGUAGGGUAGGUGCUGCCCUUAUCAAGCACACUGAUGUUGCAUAGGGUUUGUUUUGCUUCUUCCUUCUCUGCAGAGGGGAAAAGAGUUGAAGCCUACAAAGUCCAAAGGCAGUGAGGUGCCACACAAGAAGAAAACGAAAAGAGAGAAGAGUGGAACUGAAGAAGGCUUCUCUGAGAGCUGCCGCUGCACGUGCAGAGUCCUCCACAAUGAACAGCCUUGUGGAGAUGAUGCAGAAGCUGCAACUGAAGGACUGAGAAGAAGAGCAUCAGAAGGCAGCAGCUGCAGUGCGUGGCGUUACAGGGCAGUGUUCCAAGUGCCGCCCAACUUGGCACUCCAAGUUUGGUUGUAGUCAAUAAAAAACAGUCACAAUUAGAGACUGACA